RNAcentral lists this ribosomal RNA (253 nucleotides) under uncultured bacterium. RNAcentral describes it as "partial 16S ribosomal RNA". It matches the Rfam family "Bacterial small subunit ribosomal RNA", at positions 524 to 776 of the family's 1533-position model. The record is from RNAcentral.
UACGUAGGGUACAAGCGUUAAUCGGAAUUACUGGGCGUAAAGCGUGCGCAGGCGGUUGUGCAAGACAGAUGUGAAAUCCCCGAGCUCAACCUGGGAAUUGCAUUUGUGACUGCACGGCUAGAGUGUGUCAGAGGGGGGUAGAAUUCCACGUGUAGCAGUGAAAUGCGUAGAGAUGUGGAGGAAUACCGAUGGCGAAGGCAGCCCCCUGGGAUAACACUGACGCUCAUGCACGAAAGCGUGGGGAGCAAACAGG